GACGAACGCUGGCGGCGUGCUUAACACAUGCAAGUCGAACGGAAAGGCUCUGUUUUUGCGGGGUGCGCGAGUGGCGAACGGGUGAGUAACAUGUGAGUAACCUGUCCUUGACUUUGGGGUAUCUUCAGGAGAAUGGGGGUAUUAUCGGAUAGGAGCCCCUGCUGCACGGGGGGGGGUGGAGAGUUUGGGUGGUUGGGGUUGGACUCGCGGACGAUCAGUCUGUUGGUGGGGGGGUGGCUGACCAAGGAUGUGGCGGGUAGCCGGCCGGGGAGGGUGACCGGCCACAUUGGGACUGAGAUACGGCCCAGACUCCUACGGGAGGCAGCAGUGGGGAAUAUUGCACAAUGGGCGGAAGCCUGAUGCAGCAACGCCGCGUGCGGGAUGACGGCCUUCGGGUUGUAAACCGCUUUCACCUGUGACGAAGCGUGAGUGACGGUAAUGGGUAAAGAAGCACCGGCUAACUACGUG
This 468-nucleotide ribosomal RNA is filed under the name uncultured bacterium. RNAcentral describes it as "partial 16S ribosomal RNA". It matches the Rfam family "Bacterial small subunit ribosomal RNA", at positions 28 to 507 of the family's 1533-position model. The record is from RNAcentral.